Molecule: ribosomal RNA, 478 nt
Filed under: uncultured bacterium
Lineage: Bacteria
Description: bacterial SSU rRNA
Rfam family: Bacterial small subunit ribosomal RNA
Source: RNAcentral
GAUGAACGCUGGCGGCGUGCUUAACACAUGCAAGUCGAACGGAGAUGUUUCGCUGAAGCGAGCUUGCUCAAUUCUUGAGACAUCUUAGUGGCGGACGGGUGAGUAACGCGUGGGUAACCUGCCAUAUACAGGGGGAUAACACUUAGAAAUAGGUGCUAAUACCGCAUAAGCGCACGGUGUCGCAUGACACAGUGUGAAAAACUCCGGUGGUAUAUGAUGGAUCCGCGUCUGAUUAGGUAGUUGGUGGGGUAACGGCUCACCAAGCCGACGAUCAGUAGCCGGCCUGAGAGGGUGAACGGCCACAUUGGGACUGAGACACGGCCCAAACUCCUACGGGAGGCAGCAGUGGGGAAUAUUGCACAAUGGGGGAAACCCUGAUGCAGCGACGCCGCGUGAGUGAAGAAGUAUUUCGGUACGUAAAGCUCUAUCAGCAAGGAAGAGAUACCGACCUUUGGUCGCUAGACGGUACUUGACUAAG